UUUCCCUUCUAAGUAGUGCUCCAGUAACAAUCUUUUAGAAAUACUUAAUAACUUUUGUACACUUUAAUAUAAAAAACUAUAAUCCUAAAAAGAUAAAGUUAAAUACAAGGUAAUGACAUUAAUAAUAAUACUUCUUCAAAUGUAUGGUGCCAAGUCAGGUAUCAGUAGCUCAUACCUGUUAAUCCUAGUGACUCAGGAGGCUGAGACCUGAGGAUCAUGGUUCCACACCAGCCCUGGCAGG
Molecule: long non-coding RNA, 241 nt
Organism: Perognathus longimembris pacificus (Pacific pocket mouse)
Lineage: Eukaryota; Metazoa; Chordata; Mammalia; Rodentia; Heteromyidae
Exons: 3
Source: RefSeq, a predicted model, not a curated record